RNAcentral lists this ribosomal RNA (750 nucleotides) under uncultured bacterium. RNAcentral's name for it is "bacterial SSU rRNA". It matches the Rfam family "Bacterial small subunit ribosomal RNA", at positions 1 to 759 of the family's 1533-position model. The record is from RNAcentral.
CCCUUAGAGUUUGAUCCUGGCUCAGAAUCAACGCUGGCGGCGUGCCUAACACAUGCAAGUCGAGCGAGAAAAGGGGAGCAAUCCCCUGAGUACAGCGGCGCACGGGUGAGUAACACGUGGGUAAUCUGCCCUGGAGUGGGGAAUAACACCGGGAAACCGGUGCUAAUACCGCAUACGAUAAUGAGGUCUGCGGACUUUGUUAUGAAAGGAGCAAUUCGCUCCAGGAGGAGCCCGCGGCUGAUUAGCUAGUUGGUGAGGUAACGGCUCACCAAGGCAACGAUCAGUAUCCGGUCUGAGAGGACGGUCGGACACACUGGAACUGAGACACGGUCCAGACUCCUACGGGAGGCAGCAGUGGGGAAUUUUUGGCAAUGGGGGAAACCCUGACCAAGCAACGCCGCGUGGGUGAUGAAGUCUCUUGGGACGUAAAACCCUUUCGACGGGGAAGAAACCGCAAGGUUGACGGUACCCGUAGAAGAAGCCCCGGCUAACUCCGUGCCAGCAGCCGCGGUAAUACGGGGGGGGCAAGCGUUGUUCGGAAUUACUGGGCGUAAAGGGUGCGCAGGCGGUCCGUUAAGUUGGAUGUGAAAACUCUGGGCUCAACCCAGAGCCUGCAUCCAAAACUGGCGGGCUAGAGUUCUGGAGGGGGUAGCGGAAUUCCUGGUGUAGCGGUGAAAUGCGUAGAUAUCAGGAGGAACACCGGUGGCGAAGGCGGCUACCUGGACAGAAACUGACGCUCAUGCACGAAAG